UCCCCUAGUAACGGCGAGUGAAGCGGGAGGAGCUCAAAUUUGAAAUCUCACGGGUUUCCUGUGCGAAUUGUAGUUUAAAGAGUCGUUUUCUGAGGCCACUUGAGCACAAGUUCUUUGGAACAAGACAUCAUAGAGGGUGAGAAUCCCGUCUUUGGUUCAAGAUGCGCCUCUUUGUGAUACGAACUCAAAGAGUCGGUUUGUUUGGGAAUGCAGACCAAAAUGGGUGGUAAAUACCAUCUAAGGCUAAAUAUAGGCGAGAGACCGAUAGCGAACAAGUACCGUGAGGGAAAGAUGAAAAGAACUUUGAAAAGAGAGUUAAAUAGUACGUGAAAUUGUCAAAAGGGAAACGCUUGAAACCAGUAUUGCUGUUGGGGAAUCAGCUGUCCGUUUGGGCAGUGCACUUUUCCGAGAGCAGGUCAACAUCGAUUUGGUCCGAGGUACAAAGCGCCUGGAAUGUAGCCCUUUGGGUGUUAUAGCCNGGUGAAAUGCCUCGGAUUGGAUCGAGGAAUGCAGUACUUUUGGAGGUCCAGUCGCCUUUGGAAGCAUCGACCUAAACAGCGUGCUGAUUAGGUUGAAUGUCAAGAAGAUCGGUUGGGUGCCUUACACCAGUGCUUAGGAUGUUGACGAAAUGGUUUUAAACGACCCGUCUUGAAACACGGACCAAGGAGUCUAACAUGUAUGCGAGUAUUUGGGUGGCAAACCCUUGUGCGUAAUGAAAGUGAACGGUGGGAAAUUAGCACCAUCGACCGGCCUGGAUUUUUUUGAUGGUCCGAGUAAGAGCAUGCAUGCUGGGACCCGAAAGAUGGUGAACUAUGCCUGAAUAGGGUGAAGCCAGAGGAAACUCUGGUGGAGGCUCGUAGCGAUUCUGACGCGCAAAUCGAUCGUCAAAUUUGGGUAUAGGGGCGAAAGACU
RNAcentral lists this ribosomal RNA (912 nucleotides) under uncultured Chytridiomycetes. Its description in RNAcentral is "partial 28S ribosomal RNA". It matches the Rfam family "Eukaryotic large subunit ribosomal RNA", at positions 76 to 932 of the family's 3401-position model. Lineage: Eukaryota; Fungi; Chytridiomycota; Chytridiomycetes. The record is from RNAcentral.